UUGCCGCCAAUUAGUUUAUUUGGUCAGUGGAAACCAAACUGCGUGGUACGCGAGCGAUUUGAAAUUGCGAUAUACAUUCUUUUUCAAUAAUAAAACUUCCCGUAUUCCUCGGAAUAGCCAUCGUUACAACAAGAUUAAUUGUCUUUUGUGAGGCGUUAAUUUCGAAAUUAAAAAAUUUCUUGAAUUCAGUUCGUUCGGAAAAGUUCGUUUUGCUAGAAGAGAAAAAGGAGUUCAGCUGCUUCAGCGCAUUUAACUAUUCGUUUUAUUCCGAUUUCACUUGGAUUGUUUUUAUUGGAAAUAUAACAAAAUGGUCGCUUCGUCAAAUGCAAGCCAAAACGGCACAUUAAUUUCUUCAGUCGGAGGCACCGCUAAUGGAGUAAUCACCAAUGGCACAGUCAAUGAGGCUAAUGCAAGCAAGACUUUGGCCAAGGGCAAAUACACUUUGGUGGGCAUCGAUAUUGACACAACGGGACGUCGACUCAUAGAUGAGAUUGUUCAGUUGGCUGCUUAUUCUCCAAAAGAUCAUUUUGAACAAUAUAUCAUGCCAUACAUGAAUUUGAAUCCUGCCGCUCGUCAACGUCACCAAGUACGUGUGAUCUCAAUUGGAUUCUAUCGUAUGCUAAAAUCAACGCAAACCUAUAAGAUUAUCAAGUCCAAAUCGGAGAUCGCUGCCUUGAAAGAUUUUCUUGAUUGGCUGGAAGCGCUUAAAGCCAAGGAUGCAGCAUCACAAGGUAUAAUUCUAGUCUAUCACGAGGAACGAAAAUUCAUUCCAUAUAUGAUUUUGGAAUCGCUUAAAAAAUACAAUCUGUUAGAUAGAUUUCUUAAUUCAGUCAAAUCUUUCGCAAAUGGCCUCACCCUGGCCAAAGCCAAUGUCAACGAGUCCUUACAGCAUUAUUCAUUGCGUAAGCUUUCUAAAGUCUUGAGUACUAAAUCAGAAGGAGAAAACAAAAAUACCGGCGAUGGUGCUGAGAUAAUUAAUGUAAUUUCAGCAAAUACAAACAACGCCAGUCAAAGUCCACAAAAAUCUUUAAAUAAUAUUAAAAGCGCUACAGCACACGAACGUGAAUUGUUUGAUGGCAAUGCUAGUGUGCGCGCCAAGUUGGCCUUUGAGGUAGCACUGCAGUUGAGUAACCAAGAGAAUAAGGCGCCCAUCGACUCGACCGAUGCAUAUGAUAAGAUGCUCAGCGAUAUACAAGCGUAUGCACCACCCGUCGAAUGUGAUUUGAAUGAACUGCAGACACAAAAUGAGAAUUUAGAACGUCAAAACUCGUUCCGUCCAGUGUUCUUGAAUUAUUUCAAAACUACACUCUAUCAUCGGGUGCGUGCCGUUAAAUUCCGUAUUAUACUUGCCGAGCAAGGGUUUGAUCUGCAAACAUUAAAUGAAAUUUGGAGUGAAAAACGGAAAGACGGUUUGGCCGAAAUAUUGCAGGUUAUUGAAGAGCUCAAGACUGAAGAUAAAACUGAGUUGGCAGAUUUAUUUGACAGUUACUUCGAUCCCGAAAAAACGACUAUUAAGCCGAUUGUAAAGAUUAGCAAUCGUCGCCGAAAUAGACGCGGAGUACGCAAUAUGAAAAACGACGGCAGCAACAGUGCUCGUCCCUCCGGCGAGCAAGGGGCUGGCGGUGAUAAACAAAUAGCCGCUAGUGAGCUGCCCGAUUCCACAACUAAAUCGCCAUCUCCGCCAAAUGGUGGCGGUAAGCCACAGCGCGGUAAGCGUAAUCCACGGUCCCGGAAUAACUCCUUGAAAGCACAGCUACAAACCACUGUCGACGCAACAACGGCAACAGCAACAGAAGCUAAUUAAGAUUAUGGAAUUUCAAUCAAUCAAAACGGGUGUUGUUGCUGCAACAAAGGCAAAAUUUUUGGUUAAAAUUGAUGUCAGAAAAGAAAAGUUUAACUACAAAAGUAACACAAACAUGAUUGAUGCGUUGCAGCUAUUGUAAAUUAGCUAUCAAAAAAAAAAAAUAACAAAAAAACUUACUCGCUCAAGAAGGUGGAAAUGAAUUUCAAAAGGAUUGUUUGAGGGAAAUGUGACGAUUUCACUGAUUUCGGAAGUUUCUUGCACAAAAUUUUAGUGUAAAAAAAUUUCAGUAUGUGUCUUUUGGUGAAUAAUCAAAUUUUUAAUGAAGAAAUGAAACCCAACUAUCGCGCCAUAUUCAAAAUGAACUCGUGUACAUAUGUACAUACGCACUUGUGAAUUGAGUUUAUACAAUAAUGCCUUCAAUGCCAGUAAAAAAAUAUUGAUUUUACCGUACAUAAUACAAGGAAAAAUUAUUUAAUUAAUAUUUCAAUUUAUAUAUGAAUGUAUAUUUGCAUACAUACAUAUGGCAUGUCUAUACAUAUGUUCAUACGAAUAUGUGGGCUGUGAACGCUCAAAUUAAAUAGCGUGAUAUUAUAAAUGCAACAAGUACAAAAAUACAUUCGCACUGCGGAACCUGAUUAGCAGUAAAGAAGUUAUCACUCAUCUAAGCCAGCUCAACAACAAUCACUCUUCAGCUGGCAGCCGUGUACAGGAAGUGAAAAAAAUGUUUUUAAUUUUUUUAGUUUAUUACACAACACGUGUGGUACGCAAAAAAGAAUAAUCUAAUCGAAAUACACAAAAAUAUUUGUUUUCAUAGAACAAUAUAGCGAGGAGUAGACUUAAAAAAGUACUACACAUUUAUUACAUAUACAAUAUAUUGUUCGAAAAUCAAGGAAUCUUAGGGCUGAUCCAUAAAUAAUUGAUAAAUUUUUGAAAACCAACUACUAUGUGGUUCUCUCAGUUCUUCAAAGGAUUCCAACUCAAUUUUAAUAACAAUCGGCUUCAUGACAAAAAAAAA
Molecule: unclassified non-coding RNA, 2819 nt
Filed under: Ceratitis capitata (Mediterranean fruit fly)
Lineage: Eukaryota; Metazoa; Arthropoda; Insecta; Diptera; Tephritidae
Description: maternal protein exuperantia, transcript variant X2
Source: RNAcentral